RNAcentral lists this ribosomal RNA (378 nucleotides) under uncultured eukaryote. Its description in RNAcentral is "partial 18S ribosomal RNA". It matches the Rfam family "Eukaryotic small subunit ribosomal RNA", at positions 592 to 976 of the family's 1831-position model. The record is from RNAcentral.
CAAUAGCGUAUAUUUAAGUUGUUGCAGUUAAAAAGCUCGUAGUUGGAUUUCGGGUGGGACGCAGCGGUCUCGCAUUGCGUUUGUACUGCUGCAGCCCUCCUUCUUGCCGGGGGCGGCCUCUCGGACUUCACUGUCUGGGGGUCAGAAUCGGCGAUGUUACUUUGAGUAAAUUAGAGUGUUCAAAGCAAGCUUACGCUCUGAAUAUAAUAACAUGGGAUAACACGACAGGACUCUGGCCUAUCGUGUUGGUCUAUAGGACCAGAGUAAUGAUUAAGAGGGACAGUCGGGGGCAUUCGUAUUCCGUUGUCAGAGGUGAAAUUCUUGGAUUUACGGAAGACGAACAUCUGCGAAAGCAUUUGCCAAGGAUGUUUUCAUUGA